CCAAUAGCGUAUAUUAAAGUUGUUGCAGUUAAAAAGCUCGUAGUUGAAUUUCGAGAUCGGUUUAUUGGUCGUGCUAUUGUACGUACUGGUAUUACCGGUUUCUCCUUUCUGACGAACCUUAAUGCCAUUAAUUUGGUGUUUUGGGAAAUCAGGACUGUUACUUUGAAAAAAUUAGAGUGUUUAAAGCAGGCUCACGCUUGAAUACAUUAGCAUGGAAUAACGGAAUAGGACGUUUGAUUCUAUUUUGUUGGUUUCUAGGAUCGACGUAAUGAUUAAUAGGGAUAGUUGGGGGCAGUAGUAUUCAAUUGUCAGAGGUGAAAUUCUUGGAUUUAUUGAAGACUAACUACUGCGAAAGCAUUUGCCAAGGAUGUUUUCAUUAAUCAAGAACGAAAGUUAGGGGAUCGAAGACGAUCAGAUACCGUCGUAGUCUUAACCAUAAACUAUGCCGACUAGGGAUCGGAUGAUGUUAAUUUUUUAAUGACUCAUUCGGCGCCUUACG
This 499-nucleotide ribosomal RNA is filed under the name uncultured Glomeromycotina. RNAcentral describes it as "partial small subunit ribosomal RNA". It matches the Rfam family "Eukaryotic small subunit ribosomal RNA", at positions 591 to 1092 of the family's 1831-position model. Lineage: Eukaryota; Fungi; Glomeromycota. The record is from RNAcentral.